GAUGAACGCUGGCGGCGUGCCUAAUACAUGCAAGUCGAGCGAACGGACGAGAAGCUUGCUUCUCUGAUGUUAGCGGCGGACGGGUGAGUAACACGUGGAUAACCUACCUAUAAGACUGGGAUAACUUCGGGAAACCGGAGCUAAUACCGGAUGAUAUUUUGAACCGCAUGGUUCAAAAGUGAAAGACGGUCUUGCUGUCACUUAUAGAUGGAUCCGCGCUGCAUUAGCUAGUUGGUAAGGUAACGGCUUACCAAGGCAACGAUGCAUAGCCGACCUGAGAGGGUGAUCGGCCACACUGGAACUGAGACACGGUCAAAACUCCUACGGGAGGCAGCAGUAGGGAAUCUUCCGCAAUGGGCGAAAGCCUGACGGAGCAACGCCGCGUGAGUGAUGAAGGUCUUCGGAUCGUAAAACUCUGUUAUUAGGGAAGAACAUAUGUGUAAGUAACUGUGCACAUCUUGACGGUACCUAAUCAGAAAGCCACGGCUAACUACGUG
RNAcentral lists this ribosomal RNA (497 nucleotides) under uncultured bacterium. RNAcentral's name for it is "partial 16S ribosomal RNA". It matches the Rfam family "Bacterial small subunit ribosomal RNA", at positions 28 to 507 of the family's 1533-position model. The record is from RNAcentral.